Long non-coding RNA from Planococcus citri (citrus mealybug), 6752 nucleotides. RefSeq lists it as uncharacterized. Lineage: Eukaryota; Metazoa; Arthropoda; Insecta; Hemiptera; Pseudococcidae. The transcript has 6 exons. The record is from RefSeq and is a predicted model, not a curated record.
AUUAAAAGAUCCCAUCUCGAAAAUUAAAUACUUCAAAAAAGCAUCAAAAGGUACAUCUAUGGAAAUCUUUUCAGAAUUUUAAAUGGCAGCUCCCACUUACAGCGCCAUUUUGAAAUUUGAACUUUCGAAAGUUCAACUUUCAACUUUUGAAAAUUUCAAAAUACUUGUAAAAGGUUAAAAUGCAAUGCCCUUUCGAACCGUGAAAUCAGUUUUGAUCAAAGUAUCGUAGUUUUGGAGGUAUGCGCUGCUGAAGUUGAGUACCUCGAGACAAUGUGAAAAUAAUUAAAGCCUCCCCCACCCGCCCACCCACUGAAGGGACUGAGACCAAACUUAUUGCGGGUUUCUUACUUAUUGGGUGGGUAGACAUUGUGAAAAAAUUGACCGAAAUCGAAGGACAUGACUCAAAAAGUUGGUUGAAUUGAAAAGGAAUGGCCUUAUUAUCUAAUUUGAAAACAUUUUUUGAAAAUUUCCAAAGAAAUGCUUUUUGGCAGGUAAAAUUUCCAACUUCUGCAUUUCGUGUCCCCGCGAUUUGAUCGAUAUGCGACCAUCAUAAUGUGAUGCAACUUUUAUUGCAUACUCGCUCUUUUGAAGGAACCAGACCACUCGUAAUUCAUUCUAUACAAUAUACAAAAAUUAACGAACAAAAUGACGUGACAUUUUUAUUAAAAAAUGUUUUGAGGACCCUGAAGACAGCGCCGCGCGCCGCACCAUCUAUUUCUCUUUCUCCUGAAAUGCUUCAUAAUGAGUCACGAAAAAUGUUCUACGUAUAACCUAAAAGAAGAUUAAAUAAACCACGAAGGUUGUCUUAAAAUGUUUUGGAAAAAAAAAAAUAAGUCGAUAAUUAUAAAAUUUGAGAGAAAAUUCUACAUUUUUAUGAAACUGUAUAAUGGGUCAUCAUUCAUCAAUCAUCAUCAAUCGUCAAAACAAAAAGAAACCUUACCUAAUUGAGCUCAUAACUCCAUUUGAGCCAUUUUUGGUCGUUGCGAGAGAUCAAAAAAAUAAUGCAACCGUUUAGCAAUCUUGAAAUUUUGGAUCAUGAAAAUUCCUGAAAUUUUCAAAAUAGAAAAUUCUCACCUUAAUUUUACACAAAAAUUAAAAAAUCAGGAAUCAAGAAAGACCAGGAAAGAGAUCAAGUCCUUCCAAUAUUGUAACAUCUGCUCCUCGAAUUUUUAUCAAAGUAGGUACCUACUUAUACGUCCAACUCUGGUAUUGUCUUUUUUAAAGAAGCUCUGAAACAGACCACAGGCUCUUUUUUUUCAAGCGCUCUCCAGGACGCUCUUUCAUCAACAAUACCCAACAGCACGUUUGACUCCUCAAUGUUUGAUUGAAGUGCCUUCGGCUGUGACGCUUUAAUUUCAACCAAAGUAUCUCCACCUCCAAGCAGAGUUCCUCUGAAAAGAGACUCUUCAGCUUCGAUUUAACAUGAUAUUCUCACAGACUUAAAAAAGCCUUCAAUUGUUAAAAAAUCCAAAAACAAAUUUCAAGCCAUUGAAAUUUUCUUGUUUUUUGUUAUUUAAUUUUUUUUAUUAAUAGAAAUUCCCUCAAAAAGAUUUUUAAAAGUGUGAAAAAUGUAUUUAUUAUUAGAUAUUUACGUCUAUCCUUCAACACCAUUAUUCUUAACAUAUUUUUAAACCAUCUUGAAAAUUUUUGUUUAAAGUUUAUUUUUUCCAACUAUAGAUAUUUUUCCAAUUUCUGCAAAGGCUUUUAAAUAAAAUUCCACUGAUGAAAAUCCACCAAAAAGAAUCCCACGAAUUUUCCCACAAAUUCACGAUUCGUCAUUCAGGUACAUACAUACCCACCCUUUCCUCCAAGUCAUCAAGCCAUGCCGUAUAGCUGUAUGUACGAGUAUAUCUAGUAAAACGUCCACUCUCUUUACUCAAUUUUCUUCAUACACUUCAACACUUCCCCUGAACCUUUCCCUCUCCGCUCGACUAUUCCAUUAAGUGCCCCUUGUACGCUAAUGGUUUUGGUAAUGAUGACGCAAUUAGAUUACUUUGUUUUUACGGUCGAAUAAUGCGGUUUUUGCUAAGGUCACACCGUCCAUAUAUAUUCGGCCCAAUGACGACCAAACAAAAAAAAAAAAAAAAAAAAAAAAAUACAGUAUGAAAGAAAAAAAAAAGAAAAAACCUCAUACACGUAUUACAUCAAAAGCAUCUCUGCGCAAAAGACGUCACCGUUUAAUUCCAUUUUCGCGAAACCGAAAAGAUAAAUACUAUUACAAAGAGUGUGGAGAAAUCUCAUUUUUGAAUUUUCCGCCAUUUAUAUAGCUAAUGGUUUGCGCAUCUAUGACGAAAAUACCCCGGAGAUUUGCACGAGAAAAAGUAACCGGUACUGGUUUUAUUACGUAAACUAGAUGAUACCUCCUAUUCUAUGUGCGAGUAUAUUCUCUGGGUAUACACUUUUCACGAGUAUUCUGCUUUAUUUGCGCUUAUAACGUAAUAGUAUCUAUUUUAUAUACUAGGGUAGGUAUGUGUGUACUUAUGGUAAAUACAUUUAUACGAACACGCUACGUAUUUACCAAAUCAAAGAAUUUCUUUUCCUUUUCCGCCAACGUGUGGUAGCAGCUUACCAAAGGGAGGCCAUCCUAUAACGUUUGACCGCCAAAUACGAGAAUAUACCGAAACCCAACUCAAGUUUUUCUUCCUAAAUCCUAAUUGUGUUAAUAUAUUGCACGAAGAGGUAUAGAGAAAAUUCGAUUUUCUGCGGACUCUGUUUCCUUUUUUACUUUCGCGAGUUAUCUUGGAGCACUUAAGCUUUCGAGUACAAGUUUACAGGAAGGGAUACGUAGAUAUUCGGAUUCGCUGUAGGUAAUAGUAUAUUACUUAACUGUUCGGUAAAGUGCGUGAAUACCAACGAGUGUGAUUUUUGCAGCGCGAGCCGAAGGCGAGCGUUGCAAAGCACACGAGUUGGUGUUCACGUACAUUUGCCGAAUCGUUGAGUAAUAUGUUUUACUUAAUUAGUAUAGGUAAAGCUCUCAGUGCCUCACUGUUUAAAACAAGGCAGUUGUCUUUAAGUCACUAUGCGUACAAAAUUACACAAAAAUGUAAAAAAAAUUACAAUUGUAGUUCUUUAAUUAUUUAUCUAAAUGGCAACCCUGCUUUACAUUCGAAGCGUGUUUUUCAGUAGAUAGAAAAGAUAACGUACUGUACAUGUGGUAGUGAUUUUGAUUUCUUGAAUAUGAAUUUCUUUUCUUUCUUCUUAUUCGUUUAAUUUUGAAAUAAAGCAAUGGGUGUUUGAUUUUUAUCUAUCAGAAAAUGAAUUCCGUUUUGUUUUAGUUUAUUUAUUCACAAAAUCAAUUUCGAUUUUUAGUAUUUACAUUAAAAUGUGAAGUGAUGAUAACAAAGUGAUGUGAAUUUUACUGAAGUGAAUUAUACCUACCCACCUACCUAAUUACACUCAUACGAUAAUCAAUUGCGCUGGUCAAAGUAUUGUGUAUUUUCGUUCGAAUUUCAAGUAGGUAUACGUAUUUGGUAAAUCAUAAACCACAUAGAAUGAAUGUUUGCAAAUUCGUUUUUAUAGUUUUCGUCGGUUUUGCAUCAUUGAUGCAAUUGACGCAAUCGUGUAUCUUCAGGGGAAAAUCAUGCCAUCCUGGAGACGUUCGGCACACUUGCUGUAAAGGAAUGGUAUGCGAACGGAAGGAAAAAUCUUCACGUGGUGUAUGCGACUAUGGACUCUUACGGGAAUAGUUACUAAUAUUUCGCACUCGAAUGAUGAAAUGUUUUCCUUAAAUUUCACAUAUCUACCUAUUCUCAGAACAAUCACCUAACACAAUAUAUUGAAAUGAUUCACACUUUUAGAAAUACAUACUAAGUAAGUAUAUGGAAAUUAUGAAACUGAAUUUUUGACACAUGAAGGAACGACGUUUACAUUAAGUAUGUACCUAUUUCAAAAUUUCUUAGGAUUCCAGACUAAUGGAUUUAUCUUCUCGGAGAUCUAAAUUACUAGAAUGACAUCUCCAUUUCUCACAAUUUGAACAUAAAUUUUGCUACGCAUAUAAACUUUGUUCAUGACCAAGGAAAAAUCACAAUCCAACUUUUUGCCAAUCAACCAAGUUAUAUAUCGCUGCAUUUCUUUCGAAUUACUUUUUCAAAAAUUACCUAUCGAAAAAUGAAUUUCGUUAAAAUCCUUUUGUUCGCGUUUGUCGCUGUUGUGGCAUUGAUACAAUCGUCACAAGCAUGUAUUGCCAAUGGAAAACCCUGCCAUACUGGUAAAUGGGAGGAUUGCUGUUCUGAAGUCUGUUACCAACAGAAAGGCGCACGUUUUGGAAAGUGCCAAGAACGUUAGGAGAUGUAACCGUGAUUGUAAGACAAAUGACUCAGUUUUCUAAUCAGCAGGUUGACUAUAACUAUUCGUAUAACUCGUUAAAAUUUUCGAUUGUAUGAACCAAUCAAUUCAAUUAAAAUUUUAUUAAUCAUUUCAUUCAAUUAUGUACUUAUUUGAAAUAUACAUUACCUAAAUUCAUUCUCACGACUAUUUUUUAAAACUUUUGAAAAUGGAACAAAAAUUUAAUCUCAAAUAAUUAUUUUCAAUCCAUUAUGCGGGAAAAAUUCUUCAAAAUAACCUUAAUCCUAUACAAGUUCUGCUUUUGUGCUUACUUUUGUCCUCCUUUUUAUCGAAAAAUACUGUUUUUUUCUCGUUUUUCCCCUAGAAUUUUGGAAAAAAAAAAAUUUCAAUUACCUAAAAAACAUAAAUUUUUUCAAUUCAAAAAUUUUGAAAUGAACUUGACAGGACUGUAAUUCAUUCUUCCUACAUUUCAAGUUUCAUUUUUUCAACUUGAAUGUACUUCGAUAAUAUUAAAGUCUUUUUCUCCGAAUUUCACCAUUCUAAACACACAUUUUAAGUUGACUAAAAUUUUUUAAAAUAUGGUAUGCAUCAAACCGAAUUCUACCUAGGUUGAUAGGAUAGGUAAGCACCUAGGUACAUUUCCGCACGCAUAUAAAAUUAAUGCAACAACUUAUCUCAAGAGUUAGAAUAGGUAGGUACUUUAAACUAAUGGAUACGUUUUGUUGAAGACAUAAAUUACCACUCGUGUUUUUGGGCAAUAUACCAGCUACUUACUUAGGAUCAGUAUGUCAGACCAAAGGAUUUUUUUCCGAGUGCUGUGCUGGAUUAACGUGCCGUCGUCGUCUAGAUACGUCUCCAGUUGGUUUAUGCCGUCCAUAAGCAAAGAAAAAAUCGCAAUGCAACACUUUACACAUUGUACAAGUUACACGGUUGUAUUUUUUUUCAAAAUACUCUUUCAAAAAUUAUCGAAAUGAAUAUCCUAGAAAUAUUUUUAUUUGUUUUUGUCACCGUUGUGGCAUUAUAGUACAAUUGGCAUCCGCACAGGCACAAUCGUAUAAUCGUUAAGAAGUUACCUGCAAGAAAAAUGGUGGAUGGGGAGUUUGCUGUUCCAGAUUCUGCUCACACGAAUUUUGCAAAAUAUAAACAUGAUUAUGUCAGAUAAAGUCUCAGUUUUCAUGACAGGAUGUUUACUACGUGAUGGUGUACCUAUAAUUCAGGUGUUAUGAUUUCAAAAAUGUAUCAUUUAAUUAGCUAGGUAGGUAUUUGAAAUACACAUAACUUCCAUCCAACAAAUAUUUUUUUCCAGAGCAGCCUUUUCAGUACAAAUCUGCUAGCUGGCUACCUACUCAACUACUCAUAACUUCCCUUUCAUUAUGGGAUUUUCAGAACACUGUGACACAUUGAAGUACAAUAAUUGUCACAUUAUUCUUAUCAAAAAAUAGCUGUAAAUCCAAACUAAUGUAUAGGUGUACUUUUUCUUCGAAGCGAAAACUACGUUUUUACUAUUUCUCAGAAUUCUGGCAUUAAUUAUCCAAAUAUGGUUGAAAAUUUUACCACAAAUAAGCAAAAUUAUAUUCACACUUUCACAGCACUCAUCACCAUCAUGAUACUGAUGCAAUACGUGCAUUCGUUGCAAUGUAACCUCAACGGGGGAAAAUGCUAUUCUAGUGGUGUAUUUUGUUGUUCCAAUUACUGUGAUCCAAGUUCUGGCAGAUGCAAAUAAUUAAUCAACUUACUUGACUAUAAUUAUAUUACGAAAAUUUCUCCGAAGUACGAAAACCACUCCUUGUACGUCUCAAGAAUCUUUAGGUAUUGAUGUUUAUCAUGAAAUAAACGGUCACGUGCCUAUAGCAAUGGAUUACCUACUCAAUUCAAGAAAUCUAGAGCUACUCGCAUCGCAAAAUGCAUUCUCUCAACACUCUUCACUCGUAUCUUAUAUCUUCAUACAGUCAAAACACCAAAACGAGUACUUAAUCAAAUAUUUUUCCAAUCUUGAGUUUUCAACUAAAUAAACAUAAUUUUAAAAGCGUAAUUUCUAAAGAUGUAUCUGCAGUUAUUAUCAACUACCGUGUUUAUUUUUUCGGAUAAAAUUUCAAUGGGUACUUUAUAAUUGACCUCCAAUAAAACACACCUUUAAAAAAUUUCUAUAUAAUAUCAAUUCGAAAGAAAGUUUGUAGUCUUUGUUAACAAUUCUUAGACAGUAAUUUCAAUUUUUCGAAAAAAAUCGGUCAAGUUUUAUAGUAACCUUAAACAUACAUCGUCAUUAUGAAUUUUUGCAAAAUUUUUAUAUUUUUAUUUUUCGCGGUGCUCCUGUUCUCGCAAAUGGCUGAAGCAAAAAAGAAAAAUUGUAUCCGAAAUGGACGGAAAUGUAAAGCUAACGGUUCCAUGGGAAAUUGUUGUUCCGGAUACUGUUUUCAGAGGAAAGGAGAGAAGACUGGGAGAUGCCAAAAAAAACCUCGUUAGCUGAU